RNAcentral lists this ribosomal RNA (108 nucleotides) under Helianthus annuus (common sunflower). Lineage: Eukaryota; Viridiplantae; Streptophyta; Magnoliopsida; Asterales; Asteraceae. The record is from RNAcentral.
UUUAAGCGAAUUGGCUGUGGAGCACAUGAAAACUUCACAGUUAAACGUGAUUAGGUGGGAGUAGUACUAAGAUGGGUGACCUCCUAGGAAGUCUACAUCGAGUUAACC